AUUUUUCUGCAAUGGGCGAAAGCCUGACGGAGCAACGCCGCGUGAGGGAGGAAGGCCCUUGGGUUGUAAACCUCUUUUAAUAGGGAAGAAGCUCUGACGGUACCUAUUGAAUAAGCCUCGGCUAACUCCGUGCCAGCAGCCGCGGUAAUACGGAGGAUGCAAGCGUUAUCCGGAAUCAUUGGGCGUAAAGCGUCCGCAGGUGGCGUAUCAAGUCUGCUGUCAAAGACAGAAGCUCAACUUCUGGCAGGCAGUGGAAACUGGUAAGCUAGAGUACGGUAGGGGUUGAGGGAAUUCCCAGUGUAGCGGUGAAAUGCGUAGAUAUUGGGAAGAACACCAGUGGCGAAGGCGCUCAGCUGGGCCGUAACUGACA
This 370-nucleotide ribosomal RNA is filed under the name uncultured cyanobacterium. RNAcentral's name for it is "bacterial SSU rRNA". It matches the Rfam family "Bacterial small subunit ribosomal RNA", at positions 360 to 745 of the family's 1533-position model. The record is from RNAcentral. Lineage: Bacteria; Bacillati; Cyanobacteriota.